Oncorhynchus keta (chum salmon) is the source of this 962-nucleotide long non-coding RNA. RefSeq lists it as uncharacterized. NCBI's taxonomy places the organism in Eukaryota, Metazoa, Chordata, Actinopteri, Salmoniformes, Salmonidae. The record is from RefSeq and is a predicted model, not a curated record. The transcript is spliced from 7 exons.
CCCAGAGACAGCACAACACAUACUACUCAUCAGCACCAUCAUCUACACCAUUUACAAGCAUAUCAGUUGUGUGUGUUCGAUUUUCUUCGAGGGCUCCUCCAAGCAGAAGAACCAUAGUACAAAAAAGGUUUAGAAACACUGCUUUAGAACGUAAUGUAUUAAAAGGUUUCAGAAACACUGCUUUAGAACGUACUGUAUUAAAAGGUUUCAGAAACACUGCUUUAGAACGUACUGUAUUAAAAGGUUUCAGAAACACUGCUUUAGAACGUAAUGUAUUAAAAGGUUUAGAAACACUGCUUUAGAACGUAAUGUAUUAAAAGGUUUAGAAACACUGCUUUAGAACGUACUGUAUUAAAAGGUUUAGAAACACUGCUUUAGAACGUAAUGUAUUAAAAGGUUUAGAAACACUGCUUUAGAACGUAAUGUAUUAAAAGGUUUAGAAACACUGCUUUAGAACGUACUGUAUUAAAAGGUUUAGAAACACUGCUUUAGAACGUAAUGUAUUAAAAGGUUUAGAAACACUGCUUUAGAACGUACUGUAUUAAAAGGUUUAGAAACACUGCUUUAGAACGUACUGUAUUAAAAGGUUUAGAAACACUGCUUUAGAACGUACUGUAUUAAAAGGUUUAGAAACACUGCUUUAGAACGUACUGUAUUAAAAGGUUUAGAAACACUGCUUUAGAACGUACUGUAUUAAAAGGUUUAGAAACACUGCUUUAGAACGUACUGUAUUAAAAGGUUUAGAAACACUGCUUUAGAACGUACUGUAUUAAAAGGUUUAGAAACACUGCUUUAGAACGUAAUGUAUUAAAAGGUUUAGAAACAACCCGGUACAGCUUCAGUAGCACCACUGUGUCGUUCCUGGCAAUAGGCAAUGUCUUGGUUUAGUAUCCCACAUACGCUGUGUUAAGGUUAACGUCCCACAACAAGCUCUCUGCCUGUGUGACAUUUUUUAUUGAGUU